ACGAGUCCUAAAAUCCCACGUCCAGUUCUGUGCCCCUGUGUAUCAAUAGGAGUUCUGUCAGUUUCUGGCACCUAGAGAGUUCACCAUUCUAGCUUUUGAGCUUUGCUGUAUUUUUUUUUUAAGUAUAUUAUCCAUAUUUCUCUGUGUUUAGGGGGUGGAGGAUUGGUUGGUAUUAUCUGACAAGAAUAUAUCAGAAGUUUGCAGUUAGUGGAACUCCUGAAAAUUAUAUAUGAAAUAUUGGACUUUCACAGUUCCUUUAGAGUGGUUUAGAGCCAUUGUUCUCUGUUGAGCUAAAAUCUCAACUUCAUUGGUUCUGGUUC
This 320-nucleotide long non-coding RNA is filed under the name Bos taurus (domestic cattle). Its description in RNAcentral is "long non-coding RNA NONBTAT024584". Lineage: Eukaryota; Metazoa; Chordata; Mammalia; Artiodactyla; Bovidae. The record is from RNAcentral.